AAAAUUGCAGUUAAGGAACUAGGCAAAUUGACCCCGUAAGUUCGCGAGAAGGGGUGCCUGCGAGAGCAGGCCGCAGAGAAUAGGCCCAAGCAACUGUUUUAGCAAAAACACAGGUCUCUGCUAAAGCGUAAGCUGAUGUAUAGGGGCUGACGCCUGCCCGGUGCUGGAAGGUUAAGGGGAACACUUAGCGCAAGCGAAGGUGUGAACUUAAGCCCCAGUAAACGGCGGCCGUAACGAUAACGGUCCUAAGGUAGCGAAAUUCCUUGUCAGGUAAGUUCUGACCCGCACGAAUGGCGUAAUGACUUGGGCACUGUCUCAACAGCAAAUCCGGCGAAGUUGUAGUGCGAGUGAAGAUGCUCGCUACCCGCGAUUGGACGGAAAGACCCCGUAGAGCUUUACUGUAGCUUAGCAUUGAAUUCCGGUAUUGUCUGUACAGGAUAGGUGGGAGACUGGGAAACUAGGGCGUCGGCCUUAGUGGAGUCAACCUUGGGAUACCACCCUGACAGUACUGGGGUUCUAACAGGACGCCAUGAAGCUGGUGACUGGACAUUGUUAGGUGGGCAGUUUGACUGGGGCGGUCGCCUCCUAAAAAGUAACGGAGGCGCCCAAAGGUUCCCUCAGAACGGUCGGAAAUCGUUCGUAGAGUGCAAAGGCAGAAGGGAGCCUGACUGCGAGACCUACAAGUCGAGCAGGGACGAAAGUCGGGCUUAGUGAUCCGGUGGUACCUCGUGGGAGGGCCAUCGCUCAACGGAUAAAAGCUACCUCGGGGAUAACAGGCUGAUCUCCCCCAAGAGUCCACAUCGACGGGGAGGUUUGGCACCUCGAUGUCGGCUCGUCGCAUCCUGGGGCUGUAGUAGGUCCCAAGGGUUGGGCUGUUCGCCCAUUAAAGCGGCACGCGAGCUGGGUUCAGAACGUCGUGAGACAGUUCGGUCCCUAUCCGUCGCGGGCGUAGGAAAUUUGAGAGGAGCUGUCCUUAGUACGAGAGGACCGGGAUGGACUGACCUCUGGUGCACCAGUUGUUCUGCCAAGAGCAUGGCUGGGUAGCUAAGUCGGGAAGGGAUAAACGCUGAAAGCAUCUAAGCGUGAAGCCCCCCUCAAGAUGAGAUUUCCCAUAGCAUAAGCUAGUAAGACCCCUUGAAGAACACAAGGUUGAUAGGUCAGAGGUGGAAGUGCGGUAACGUAUGUAGCUGACUGAUACUAAUAGGUCGAGGGCUUGAUCAA
RNAcentral lists this ribosomal RNA (1221 nucleotides) under metagenome. Its description in RNAcentral is "bacterial LSU rRNA". It matches the Rfam family "Bacterial large subunit ribosomal RNA", at positions 1695 to 2925 of the family's 2925-position model. The record is from RNAcentral.